GGAUCCAGACUUUGAUCAUGGCUCACGAUGAACGCUGGCGGCGCAUUUAAGACAUGCAAGUCGAACGAAAAUUUACGCUUAAAGAGUUGAUUAGUUUACUAAGAGAUGAUUUAUUGUAAAUUUUAGUGGCGGACUGGUGAGUAAUACAUAGGUAAUCUGCCUUUUAGAGGGGAAUAACUAGGAGAAAUCCUAGCUAAUACCGCGUAAGACCACACUUAGGCAUCUAAGAGAGGUCAAAGGAGUAAUCCGCUAAAAGAUGAGCCUGUGGCUGAUUAGUUAGUUGGUGGGGUAAGAGCCUACCAAGACGAUGAUCAGUAGCCGAGCUGAGAGGCUGGCCGGCCACAUUGGGACUGAGAUACGGCCCAGACUCCUACGGGAGGCAGCAGUUGGGAAUAUUGGACAAUGGAGGAAACUCUGAUCCAGUGACGCCGCGUGAAGGAAGAAGGUCUUCGGAUUGUAAACUUAUUUUAUCAGGGAAGAAGAAAGUGACAGUACCUGAAGAAAAAGGACCGGCAAACUACGUGCCAGCAGCCGCGGUAAUACGUAGGGUCCAAGCGUUAUCCGGAUUUACUGGGUGUAAAGGGCGAGUAGACGGUGCUGUAAGUCAGCUGUGAAAACUUAGGGCUCAACCUUAAGCCUGCAGCUGAAACUGUAGUGCUAGAGUGCAGGAGAGGUAAGCGGAAUUCCUAGUGUAGCGGUGAAAUGCGUAGAUAUUAGGAGGAACACCAGUGGCGAAGGCGGCUUACUGGACUGUAACUGACGUUGAGGCGCGAAAGUGUGGGGAGCAAACAGGAUUAGAUACCCUGGUAGUCCACACCGUAAACGAUGGAUACUAGGUGUAGGCGAGAUAUCGUCUGUGCCGGCGCAAACGCAAUAAGUAUCCCACCUGGGGAGUACGGCCGCAAGGUUGCAACUCAAAUGAAUUGACGG
This 930-nucleotide ribosomal RNA is filed under the name uncultured Bacillota bacterium. Its description in RNAcentral is "bacterial SSU rRNA". It matches the Rfam family "Bacterial small subunit ribosomal RNA", at positions 1 to 916 of the family's 1533-position model. The record is from RNAcentral. Lineage: Bacteria; Bacillati; Bacillota.